RNAcentral lists this non-coding RNA (101 nucleotides) under Chloropicon mariensis. The record is from RNAcentral. Lineage: Eukaryota; Viridiplantae; Chlorophyta; Chloropicophyceae; Chloropicales; Chloropicaceae.
GUGUACAUGCCUCGAAUAGCGUGAGAAGAAGAGAGAGAGAAAGAAGAGAAGAAAAAAAGUUUCUUUUAUUUUUUUUUUGGCUUUUUUGGUUUUUUUUUUUG